GGAUGUGAGAGUGAUCUGGCUGGGGCCUCUGUCACCCUACAAUUCGCCAGAGGUGACUCAGUUGAUCUGGCUGGUUAGGCGGGUGUCCCCUUCCUCUCUCACUGCUCCAUGUGCGUCCCUCCCCCUGGAAGCUUCCUGUCCAGUUGGUCAGUCAUAGAGGAUGACUUCCCCCACUAGAGGAAGGACUGUUCUUCGGUCAAGGGUAUACGAGUAGCUGCACUCCUCUGCUAGGACCUUCAAAUGCAUGCUCAAAAGUCAAUUGAUUGUUCAUAAAAGGGAAACACAAGUGAUAAUUUGUAAAAUGGAAACACAUUUGAAAACUAGCAACUCACAUUCUUAUGUUUGUUUAUAAUCCUUC
Mustela putorius furo (domestic ferret) is the source of this 358-nucleotide unclassified non-coding RNA. Its record names the gene 7SK. It matches the Rfam family "7SK RNA". Rfam says of the family: 7SK was discovered as an abundant small nuclear RNA in the mid-70s but a possible function has only recently been suggested. Two independent studies have found that 7SK RNA binds the CDK9/cyclin T complex (known as elongation factor P-TEFb). P-TEFb activates transcription by phosphorylating the C-terminal domain of RNA polymerase II. NCBI's taxonomy places the organism in Eukaryota, Metazoa, Chordata, Mammalia, Carnivora, Mustelidae. The record is from Ensembl.